RNAcentral lists this long non-coding RNA (227 nucleotides) under Nicotiana benthamiana. RNAcentral's name for it is "long non-coding RNA (NBEN_LNC001537)". The record is from RNAcentral. Lineage: Eukaryota; Viridiplantae; Streptophyta; Magnoliopsida; Solanales; Solanaceae.
GAAAAAUGAGCUUUUAAUACUAUGUAAAUACUUGUUCGUACAUUUAGUGUUUGCAUCAAAUCAAGUAGUUUACAUGGAUUAUGGGUAUGGUCCGGGACUACAUCCUAAUUCACAAACUUUCAAUCACUAAUCACAUGAGUAUUAAAGCUCAGAUGAGUGAGGCUACCUGGGCCAACAACUAGAAAAGAAAGCAAAAGAGGCAAGAAAUUGAGCCCAAAGGACUCCGC